RNAcentral lists this ribosomal RNA (492 nucleotides) under uncultured bacterium. Its description in RNAcentral is "partial 16S ribosomal RNA". It matches the Rfam family "Bacterial small subunit ribosomal RNA", at positions 28 to 507 of the family's 1533-position model. The record is from RNAcentral.
GAUGAACGCUAGCUACAGGCUUAACACAUGCAAGUCGAGGGGAAACGGCAUCGACAUCUUGCUUUUGAUGGGCGUCGACCGGCGCACGGGUGAGUAACGCGUAUCCAACCUGCCCACCACUUGAGGAUAACCUUGCGAAAGUAAGACUACUACCCAAUGAUAUCUCACGAAGACAUCUGAAUGGGAUUAAAGAUCUAUACGUGAUGGUGGGGGAUGCGUCUGAUUAGCUGGUUGGCGGGGUAACGGCCCACCAAGGCAACGAUCAGUAGGGGUUCUGAGAGGAAGGUCCCCCACAUUGGAACUGAGACACGGUCCAAACUCCUACGGGAGGCAGCAGUGAGGAAUAUUGGUCAAUGGGCGAGAGCCUGAACCAGCCAAGUAGCGUGCAGGAAGACGGCCCUAUGGGUUGUAAACUGCUUUUAUAAGGGAAUAAAGUGGGUCACGUGUGACUUUUUGCAUGUACCUUAUGAAUAAGGACCGGCUAAUUCCGUG